UUCAAGUGUGUGAAGGAGCUUCUAUGACCCCAGAUUGUCAGACGAGUGCUCCCAAUACCUUGUUGUGCUUACACAACAUUGUACUUGAAUACUCAAUGAGUAUCAUAGUUCAAAUAGCAAAUAUCAAUACUCAAGCUCAUAUUUCCGAGGCUUCAGAUUGUUCCUCCAGUUGGAAAGGAAAGGAGAUAUAUGGCUGGAUGGCUGGAUGAUCCUAAAAUGUCCCAUUUCUAAUUCAGACACAAAUGAUGAAGUGUUGGAGAAAAUAUGAAGGUACUACAGGUAACUUUCCUAUCACAAUGGAUGUCAGAGGAUGCUUCCACAAAUGGCAGAUCUUUAUCCAUCAGAAAAACUCAAGGCAGCUAACAAAAGAAACAUGCAAUACCAAGAGGUCCAAACAGGCCAGUGGAAAGGACCUCAUUCUCUCUCCCUCUGCUAUGUUGGCCCAUGGUGAAGUCCAAGGGGCAAGGUGCUUGGUGACAGCUGGCCAUGGCAGAUGGAUGAAAAGGGCCACAAUGUUCUUCUGCUGAGUAGCCAAGCAGAUGACUUCCUCUGUGUGUGCUGUUUGCCUUUCUAAGCAUUCAGCCUAUCCAGUUACAAAUGAACAGUUUCAGAAAGAUCUGAUGAUUUUGAGCCAAAGCUCCAGAAGUGCUCUAACAUAGUACUGCACUGUAUGGAGAAGUCCUUGCAGAAGUUCCACACAUACACACAUACUUCAGAGAUCCCAUGUAUACAAGAUGUUUCCAGUCAAGCACUGUAGAUUGUCUCCAAAGAAAGCUGAUAUUGUAAUGGCUUGCCUGUUUUGACUGCCUAUAAGCAAAAUUAUAUUUACUUAAAGAGCCAAUACUAUUCUAAAGUUCCUUAUUUCUCCUCACAACAUUCCUGUAAGGCAGGCCUGCUCAACUUCACUCCACCCCAGCUGUUUGGGACUACAACUCCCAUAAUCCCCAGCUAAGUGGCCAAUAGCCAGGGAUCAUAGGAGUUGCAGACCAACAUCUGCAGGAGGGCCAAAGAUGAGCAGCCCUGCUGUGAUCAUUUUAAUUUCAAUUUUAUAUUAAAUGGCCAUGACUGUUUUAAUUGUUAAUUGUUAUAUAUUGUUUUAUAAUUUUUGUUUUCAUUGUUAACUGGUUUUAAUGGAUUUGUUUUUAAUUGUAAACAGCCGUGAGCCAUUUUGGA
Hemicordylus capensis (graceful crag lizard) is the source of this 1173-nucleotide long non-coding RNA. RefSeq lists it as uncharacterized. The record is from RefSeq and is a predicted model, not a curated record. Lineage: Eukaryota; Metazoa; Chordata; Lepidosauria; Squamata; Cordylidae. The transcript is spliced from 3 exons.